CAGUCGCCACGGUAAUACGGAGGGGGCUAGCGUUGUUCGGAAUUACUGGGCGUAAAGCGUGCGUAGGCGGUUCGUUAAGCCUGCUGUGAAAGCCCCGGGCUCAACCUGGGAAUGGCAAUGGAUACUGGCGAGCUAGAGUGUGUCAGAGGAUGGUGGAAUUCCCGGUGUAGCGGUGAAAUGCGUAGAGAUCGGGAGGAACAUCAGUGGCGAAGGCGGCCAUCUGGGACAACACUGACGCUGAGGCACGAAAGCGUGGGGAGCAAACAGGAUUAGAUACCCGCGUAGUCCCUGUCUCUUAUAC
This 301-nucleotide ribosomal RNA is filed under the name uncultured bacterium. RNAcentral describes it as "partial 16S ribosomal RNA". It matches the Rfam family "Bacterial small subunit ribosomal RNA", at positions 509 to 807 of the family's 1533-position model. The record is from RNAcentral.